AGGGGUGUGUUCCGUGCGGCAUUGCUGUGGGAGGCGGCGGGACCCUGUGCUGGCCCUGAGGGCUGGCUUGCAUUCAGGUCCUUUGCUCCACUGCCCGGAUCGCUGGGCUCCGAGAGCAUCCCACACGAGGGAUUUGUCUAGAUGAGGCCUGCACCUGGCUUGUCCAGGCCCCACAGCGCCCUUGCGCCAGCCUGAGUUUGUCCAUGAAGGUUACAUCAGGUCUUCGACCUUCGUCUUGCGUGGGGAGGGAGGGCGGUGGCUGGGGCCGCAUCGGGCAGAGGCAAGGCACAGCCGCGGCCUCCAAGCUGGUGAGUCAGGGUUCUGUGCUGCUUGGAAGCCAAGUGUUGUACAAACACCAGGCGUGUUGCUUCUGGAAUGUUCCCUGUGUGGCGAUAAAGCCAGUGACGGCAGCCACGGUCAUUGCUCCGAGACGCUGGUGGGUGCUGGCUGCCGCCCAGGCCUUGUCUGCCUGCAGCCCCUGGCAGCCCCUCCAGCCUGGUGGGUUCUCAGCUGCCGCCGUGACCAGGGUUUUCCAGGGUCGCUACUAUCAGCGAGUGCUUCCAGGAUGCCGGGGUGGCCGCUGGCGGGCGGGGAGGCAGGAUGCUGGUCUUGCCUCUUUCCCCUUUGAAGUUGCUGUCCUGGGGCCUCCAUGCCAGGUCCUGGCUCCUGGCGCUGAGACCCUCGGGUCUGUACGGAAAGCUCUGUUUUUUUAAAGUCAAACAGACCCAAUUAAAGUGUUUUUUCCAGAGAUGUUAAAAUAAUGUGGGCCCGGAUGAUAAUGACAGGCCUCUUCCUGGAUUGUUUCAGUCUUCCUGAAGAUUAAGGAGUUUUCAUUUAAAAAUUUUUUGUGGGGUAUUACUUAGAGAAAACCGGUGAUGACAUGUUUUCUGAUUCCAAAUACUUCUUCCCAGUGACACAGAUGCAGAGGCGCCUGGGGCCUCAGAGUCCCUGCAAGGCCGUGGAGCAGAGGCCUCAUCUCCCGGCCACUUAGGACAAAAGGCCCUGGAGCCCUGAGUGGGGAAACUGAGGCCUGAGAGGAGAGAGCCUCCCUCCCCAGCCAGCCAGGUGAUGGGCGCUGACAUUCAGGAGCACGGAGCUUCCGGCUCUCCCCUCCAUGCUCAAGGGCCUGGCUCCCGCUGCCUGAAGCCUGUCCCUGGCAGGGCCCACGAGCUCUGUCUCGUUUGUGCGACAGCCAUGAUCCCUGCUCCAGCCUGCCCCCUCGGAGCUCAGCCACGGGGGCAUAGGACAGCCACAGGAAGCCCACAGGACAAGCCCAGCCAGACUGACCGUCAGGGCACUGCUGAAAGUGCCACCAGGAGAAGAAUGUGAGCGCCAUCCCAGCCCGGCGGUCAGUAACAUUCCAGGAGCUUUGGAGAGCGUCUCCGUUGCCAGUCAAGAGCCCGGCUCCACGCACCUCAGUCCGGAAGGACUGCUCAGCCUUGGGCUAAAAAAGGGAAAAAUCACAAGCAGACAGCGUCCGCAGCCGCGUCUCCGGGCCACGGAAGGCAGCAAGGCAGCUGUGAAUGGGAAGGGCAGAGGCGGCCAGAAGCUCAUGCCUUCACUGAUGCUGGUCCUGGCUGUGCUUUCCAGAAAUUAUCCCACUCAGCUCCCUGCGUCCCACGGAUCAGGUGUCCUUAGCCUGCUGUGCGGGGGUGGGGGAGACUGAGACACAGAAGGCCAGGCUCCCCAGGCACCGAGCACGGCCCACGACCCAGAGCCGUGGAGUCACCCAGGCUGCACAGCUGGCGAGAGCAGCCGCAGAUGUGGCGGAGCCUCUGGAUUCAAGGCCAGAGUUCCUGCUGCACCCCCGACCCUGGGCCUGCCAUGGAAGGUGUCAGGAGUCGUGCUCCCUGGGCUCCUCUUCCCCACAAAGCCCCUCACGUAUGCGUGCGUCUGUGUGUGCACUUUUCCCUGCCUGAGCACUGAGCACUGAGCACGAGCACGCCUCCGCACAGGCUCUGCUGCCACCACCUCAUGGUCUCCCAGCGGCUGAUAGGAGGAGGGCAGAGGCCACCGUCUCUGGCCCAGCAGGAUGAGGGCCCCAUGACCCCUGAGGGGUGAGCACAGCGGGGUCUGUGUGCCUCGUGGCCCCUGGGGAAUGGGCAGAGCAGGGUCUGUGUACAGGGUUCCUUGCUGGGCACGUGGCCAGCACUGCAGGAGCCGGCAUUGUGGCAGCCCGGACGCCCUGACCCCGGGUAGAUGUUUUUGGUGCAGCCCUGCCCAUGUGGCCUUAGGGUAACCCGUGUGACCACAGCCCACGGCAGGCACAAGGGAGGCCACUUCCAGAGCUAGGGGGUCAGACUGUGGCUUCUGGCACCUGGAGGAGACUUGGCAGCCUGGGGGUUCCACGUGGUCAGGGGCUGAGGCCUCCCCACAGCCCCGUGAGCCCCGUCCUGGACAUGGGACUGCCUGUGGAUGCCACCUGAGCCACAGCCACCAGCCACGCUGCCCCAGAAAUGGGGGCGCUAACACGUGGAGGCCUUUUUAAACUGCUAAGUUUUGGGGUUAUUUGUUACACGGCUAUAGAUGUCUGAUAUGCCGUGGGGUGUGCCCUGAAUGUGGGGUCUGGUUGGCCCUAGGUUAGUGUCAAGCUUUGGGCAGCCAGGGCACCAAAGCCCCCACCCCUGCCGACUGUGGCCGUGCACCUGCAGGCCCGGUUCCACUGCUAUGUGGGCCUCGCCUCUGGACACGGGCCCCAGGACCCAGCCACUGAGGCUGGCCUGGCUGUGUGUCCUCCCACUCACUCCCAUUCAGUGCUGCCAGGCGCCGUGCCGUCUGCUGCCCACCAGGACCCGGCUCCUGGCAGGCCUGAGCCCCCUCCCCAUCUCCCUUCCCCCUCCCUGAUCGCCCCUGGGCCCCUGGCCCAGCCUGCUGAGGGUGACUUCUUCACACCCAGACUCUGGGCUCCGGUUCCUCACCCUGUCCCUGAGACUUCCUCCUGGUCACACCUUCCUUCCGGCAGUGCUCCCAACACACAUGGCCAUUCCUGGGGAGUCUUCCAGGCAGCCCUGCCCACCGUCUCCACCCACCUCCUUCCCACCUGCUCACCGCAAGGUCCUGUUCCCAGCAUACGGCCCUGCUGCUGGCCUGGGAGGAGACCUGACGCCUCCAGGGCCACUGUCAGCCUCCCCGGGACACCCUGCUGCCGGGACACACUGCUGCUGGCCUGCCUUUGGAGUCCACCCUCGUCCUGUCCCCACCUGCCCCAUCCCCACCCGUCCUGUCCCCACCUGCACCAUCCCCCCACCUGUCCUGAUUCUGCUGAGCCUGUCAGGUGACAAACCCUGGCCGUCUCCUCCAUGGGGCACCUGGUGAAGCUGAGGGAGGACUCUGGGGCUGGGACUCAGGUUCCCCUCCUAGGGGCCAUGAACUGGUCUGGAUGUUACAGUCAUGGGGCUGCUGAGGGAGGACAGGUCGAGGGCACCAUCUAGGGUGAGUCUUGGUCGGCUGGCAGAGGGCUGGGCUGACCCAGGGAGCCCUGUCCCUCCCUGAGGGCUCGGCCUGCCCAGUACCGUGGCCCGUGGCCCGGGUUUGGCCCGUCCACCAGAUCCAGUCCUUUGGCACCCGUGUCCCUAGGGCCGUGGGCUGUGAGGAGGUGUGAAGGGGAAGGAAGGACAUU
This is a long non-coding RNA of Piliocolobus tephrosceles (Ugandan red Colobus), 3619 nucleotides long. RefSeq lists it as uncharacterized. The record is from RefSeq and is a predicted model, not a curated record. The transcript is spliced from 3 exons. Lineage: Eukaryota; Metazoa; Chordata; Mammalia; Primates; Cercopithecidae.